Molecule: ribosomal RNA, 1332 nt
Filed under: uncultured bacterium
Lineage: Bacteria
Description: bacterial SSU rRNA
Rfam family: Bacterial small subunit ribosomal RNA
Source: RNAcentral
GACGAACGCUGGCGGCGCGCCUAACACAUGCAAGUCGAACGAGAGAUGAGGAGCUUGCUCUUCAAAUCGAGUGGCGAACGGGUGAGUAACGCGUGAGGAACCUGCCUCAAAGAGGGGGACAACAGUUGGAAACGACUGCUAAUACCGCAUAAGCCCACGGCUCGGCAUCGAGCAGAGGGAAAAGGAGCAAUCCGCUUUGAGAUGGCCUCGCGUCCGAUUAGCUAGUUGGUGAGGUAAUGGCCCACCAAGGCGACGAUCGGUAGCCGGACUGAGAGGUUGAACGGCCACAUUGGGACUGAGACACGGCCCAGACUCCUACGGGAGGCAGCAGUGGGGAAUAUUGCACAAUGGGGGAAACCCUGAUGCAGCGACGCCGCGUGGAGGAAGAAGGUCUUCGGAUUGUAAACUCCUGUUGUUGAGGAAGAUAAUGACGGUACUCGACAAGGAAGUGACGGCUAACUACGUGCCAGCAGCCGCGGUAAAACGUAGGUCACAAGCGUUGUCCGGAAUUACUGGGUGUAAAGGGAGCGCAGGCGGGAGAACAAGUUGGAAGUGAAAUCCAUGGGCUCAACCCAUGAACUGCUUUCAAAACUGUUUUUCUUGAGUAGUGCAGAGGUAGGCGGAAUUCCCGGUGUAGCGGUGGAAUGCGUAGAUAUCGGGAGGAACACCAGUGGCGAAGGCGGCCUACUGGGCACCAACUGACGCUGAGGCUCGAAAGUGUGGGUAGCAAACAGGAUUAGAUACCCUGGUAGUCCACACCGUAAACGAUGAUUACUAGGUGUUGGAGGAUUGACCCCUUCAGUGCCGCAGUUAACACAAUAAGUAAUCCACCUGGGGAGUACGACCGCAAGGUUGAAACUCAAAGGAAUUGACGGGGGCCCGCACAAGCAGUGGAGUAUGUGGUUUAAUUCGACGCAACGCGAAGAACCUUACCAAGUCUUGACAUCCCUUGACGAUGCUGGAAACAGUAUUUCUCUUCGGAGCAAGGAGACAGGUGGUGCAUGGUUGUCGUCAGCUCGUGUCGUGAGAUGUUGGGUUAAGUCCCGCAACGAGCGCAACCCUUAUGGUCAGUUACUACGCAAGAGGACUCUGGCCAGACUGCCGUUGACAAAACGGAGGAAGGUGGGGAUGACGUCAAAUCAUCAUGCCCUUUAUGACUUGGGCUACACACGUACUACAAUGGCGUUAAACAAAGAGAAGCAAGACCGCGAGGUGGAGCAAAACUCAGAAACAACGUCCCAGUUCGGACUGCAGGCUGCAACUCGCCUGCACGAAGUCGGAAUUGCUAGUAAUCGUGGAUCAGCAUGCCACGGUGAAUACGUUCCCGGGCCU